RNAcentral lists this ribosomal RNA (403 nucleotides) under uncultured bacterium. RNAcentral's name for it is "partial 16S ribosomal RNA". It matches the Rfam family "Bacterial small subunit ribosomal RNA", at positions 29 to 526 of the family's 1533-position model. The record is from RNAcentral.
AUUGAACACUGGCGGCAGGCCUAACACAUGCAAGUCGAGCGAGCGGCGGACGGGUGAGUAAUGUAUGGGGACUGCCCGCUAGAGGGGGAUAACUACUGGAAACGGUAGCUAAUACCGCAUACUAUCGGAUAACCCAUAUGGGAUUAGCUAGUAGGUGAGGUAAUGGCUCACCUAGGCGACGCUCCCUAGCUGGUCUGAGAGGAUGAUCAGCCAAACUGGGAGUGGGACACGGCCCAGACGCCUACGGAGGGAGCAGUGGGGAAUAGUGCACAAUGGGGGAAAGCCGGAUGCAGCCAUGCCGCGUGUAUGAAGAAGGCCCUAGGGGUGUAAAGGACGGUCAGUAGGGAGGCGUUACCGUCAGAAGAAGCACCGGCUAACCCCGUGCCAGCAGCCGCGGUAAUUC